AACAAGGAUUCCCUCAGUAACGGCGAGUGAAGCGGGAAGAGCUCAAAUUUGAAAUCUCCGAUGCUUGCAUCGGCGAGUUGUAGUUGCGAGAAGCACUUUCUAGGCGGAUCGACGGUGCCUAAGUUGCUUGGAACGGCACGUCGCAGAGGGUGACAACCCCGUCUGUGGCGCCGCCGGCCGCCGACGAUGUGCUUUCGAAGAGUCGGGUUGUUUGGGAAUGCAGCCCAAAACGGGUGGUAAACUCCAUCUAAAGCUAAAUACUGGCGUGAGACCGAUAGCGAACAAGUACCGUGAGGGAAAGAUGAAAAGAACUUUGAAAAGAGAGUUAAAAAGUACGUGAAACCGUCGAAAGGGAAACGAAUGGACUCAGCAAUGCGCCCUCUGAGAUUCAGCCGGUGGGUGGCGGCGGCGCCGGGUUUGCGGAUCUGAAUGGACCGCGGCCUGGCGCCCGCCUCUCCCCGCCGUCGCACUUCUCUGGGGCGCGCGUCAACGUGGGUUGGGACUGGGUCUGAAAGGCGCCGGGAAGGUAGGUGUGGGCCUUCGGGUCCGUUCUGUUACAGCCCGGUUCUCUCAUGGCUCGGGCCCGACCGAGGAGCGACACGGGGCAUGCCUCCUGUGGCUAGGGUCCCGCCCUUCCGGCCGGCUGUCCAGUGCGGUGGACUGCUUGCAGUGCUCCCCGACGGCUGCCGGUCGUUGGGGUGGUGAUCUCGUACCAUGCCCCUA
RNAcentral lists this ribosomal RNA (723 nucleotides) under Platygyra daedalea. Its description in RNAcentral is "eukaryotic LSU rRNA". It matches the Rfam family "Eukaryotic large subunit ribosomal RNA", at positions 67 to 609 of the family's 3401-position model. The record is from RNAcentral. RNAcentral also lists the same sequence under 1 other name. Lineage: Eukaryota; Metazoa; Cnidaria; Anthozoa; Scleractinia; Merulinidae.